CGGCAUGUCAAAACACGCCUUAUAUAAGAAAGGCUAUACUUCAAGAAUCACCUCAGAGACGAAAAGAAAAAUGUGGGAGACUGUUGAGAGAAGCUUCAAUGUCCAAUCUACAGGAAUACAUAGAACUGUAGACCUUCUAACUAAGAAGUGGGACAACUUGACCCAAGUCCACCGCCCUAAGUUCAUGGACUACAAAAGGCAGCUUCAUCUGACAGGAAAUGGCCAAAAUACAGCCUCCUUGUCAGAUUUGACAAAUGCUGUCAUUGAUGUUAUUGGCAGGGAUGGCUGUGCCAUGGAUGGAAUCGGUGGAUCAGAAGAAUUUGAUUCAACAUGUAUACAGGAAAGGUAUCAAUAGAUGGAAUAUCUUACAAACC
Mya arenaria is the source of this 374-nucleotide long non-coding RNA. RefSeq lists it as uncharacterized. NCBI's taxonomy places the organism in Eukaryota, Metazoa, Mollusca, Bivalvia, Myida, Myidae. The transcript is spliced from 3 exons. The record is from RefSeq and is a predicted model, not a curated record.